GGCGUUAUUGUGAGAGGAGUCUCUCAGGGGCGCCUUGUUGUAUUUCUUGCCCUGCGAAAGUGGCAGAUUACUUAUUAGCUCCUUGAUCGCUUAACCGCCUGCAACGUAACUCAAACCUAGGGUGACGUUUAAACAAAGAUACAAACAACUUGCUGAAAAGUUAGAAUUCAAGUAACUACUAACAAUUCCCUUUAUUAGUAUUACUCAAAAGAAUCAACUGAAAAAAUAAUACUCCAACCUCUUUGUUUCUGAGACUUUAGUCUUCAGAAGGUGGAUCACAUUACAUAAUACUUUUAAUUGUUGUCCAUCAACUUCAAAAGCAUUUAAGCCUCAACAAAAGGACAUCACUGCAUGGAUAACAUCAAUAUUAAAUAGACAAUAUACUUUGCAAAGACAGAUGAAGAAGUUCUGUUCAUUCAGCAAUGAAAACCUGACUGUGGCUUAACUCGUGAACCCUUUUUCCUAAACUAAUGCAAGCAAAAUCAGACCAACAAGUUAUGCCUCAGCAAUAUUCCAUACAAUUAUACAACAAAGUUGAAAAACAGACAAUAGUUUAGUUUUGUUUAGAGUGCUUGAGGUACCCUACAUUGAAAUUUGUGAUACCUUCAA
Thamnophis elegans (Western terrestrial garter snake) is the source of this 609-nucleotide long non-coding RNA. RefSeq lists it as uncharacterized. Lineage: Eukaryota; Metazoa; Chordata; Lepidosauria; Squamata; Natricidae. The transcript has 3 exons. The record is from RefSeq and is a predicted model, not a curated record.